RNAcentral lists this long non-coding RNA (2232 nucleotides) under Olea europaea subsp. europaea. Lineage: Eukaryota; Viridiplantae; Streptophyta; Magnoliopsida; Lamiales; Oleaceae. The record is from RNAcentral.
UUCCCACUGCUGCGGAGCCUGUCGCUGCCCAGGACACGGCGCCCCUCGCGGCCGUACCUAUUGAACAUGUUCCGGGGCAGCAGAGGAGGAAAAGGGCCCGCUCCAGCAAAGAAGUUGACUUCCUCGGCACCAGUUCAGAAGAGCCAGUAAGGGAGGUGCUGGAGGCUCUCCCUCCGGAAACAGCUGCGGUGGCGGUGGUCCACAGCAAGUAUUGGACCGAAGAGUGGAGGGACCACACCGCCUCCUGCACUGCUGAAGACUUGGUGGCGGUGAACAGCGCCUGCGUGGCCCGGGCACUAAGCACAAGUAUCCAACUCGAGGGCUUGGUGAAGGAUCUAAACUCCAAGAGGGAGGACCUCGCCAAGCGCCUCGAGGAGGCGAUGCAUUACGGGGACGCUGUGCGAGCUGCCCAGGCCAAAGCUGCCAAGGCAGAAGAGGAAAAGAGAGCUGCUGAGGUCCAGCUCGCUGCUUCGCAGGCGGAGGUGGAGCGGCUGAAAAAAGAGCUCUAUGAGGUGGAGUGCCAGGUGGCUGUGGUGACUCGGCGGCUUGACCACGCUAAUGAGCACCACAAGCUUGCCACUGAUGCCCUGGAGGCCUCCAACAGAGAAAAAGCGGAGCUGAAGCAGCAAGCAGAGGCCCAGUCAGUGGAGAUUGCCUCUCUGAGGGAGGAGUUAAAGUCAGCGGGGGAGGUGGCGGUUCAAAAUUUUAUUGAUCACUUCGAGGACCACCCCCUUUAUGACGACUUCGCCAACUUCUGGGCCUCGUGGAGUGCCCAGAGCCUAUUGGGUCGGCUGAAGGAGGUGCACCCCACACUGGACAUCUCUCAACUAGAGGCUGAGUUCGGGGGACCCACUGGAGGUCGGCCUGACAAGGUUACCGAGGAGGUUCCAGAGGCCCAGGAGGCGGCCAGUGCUGAAGUUCCUCCCACAGAUUAGGGUUUCCUUUGUAAUGGCUUCGGCCCCCAUGUACUUCAAUUUCAUGAAAUGGAAAAUUUUGUUAAAUUUCUUUUUCAAGUUCUUUCGCUUCUGCUUCUUUGUAUCUCUUUUUGUUUUAUACUUGUAUGAAUGACAAACAUUAGGCCGACUGCCUCGUGACAAUGACCAGUUAACAAUUGUGAAUCGGUCUCCUUAAGCGAACACAAGUCAAGGAGGUGCACCCUACACUGGACAUCUCUCAACUAGAGGCAGAGUUCGGGGGACCCACUGGAGGUCGGCCUGACAAGGUUACCGAGGAGGUUCCAGAGGCCCAGGAGGCGGCCAGUGCUGAAGUUCCUCCCUCAGAUUAGGGUUUCCUUUGUAAUGGCUUCGGCCCCCAUGUACUUCAAUUUCAUGAAAUGGAAAAUUUUGUUAAAUUUCUUUUUCAAGUUCUUUCGCUUCUGCUUCUUUGUAUCUCUUUUUGUUUUAUACUUGUAUGAAUGACAAACAUUGGGCCGACUGCCUCGUGACAAUGAUCAGUUAACAAUUGUGAAUCGAUCUCUUUAAGCGAACAUGAGUCAACACUUAAGUGACCCCUAACCUUAACUUCUUAAUAAUCUGAGGCCAGAGCAAUUAAGAAAAUGCGAGGAAACGUUUGUUCAUCAGCUAAUAAGUGGUGAUCGAAUCACUGAACAUUUUUAAGAACUGAGGAAACCUUUCCCUGGCUGAUCCGGUUUGGAACUGAAAAUUCAUUACUGAAGAUAAGUUACACCUCUUUACAACCAACGUCGGAUCAGGACAACUGAUUUAGUCAUGACAACCUAGGAUCAAAUCGGAACAUUCUUGUUACUGGUAAUAUUUUCUCAAGUGCUCGAUGUUCCACUUGUGAGGUAACACCCUUCCUGACAUAUCUUCGACCUCGAAAGUACCAGGUCGGGAUUCUCCCNCCCACACUGGACAUCUCUCAACUAGAGGCAGAGUUCGGGGGACCCACUGGAGGUCGGCCUGACAAGGUUACCGAGGAGGUUCCAGAGGCCCAGGAGGCGGCCAGUGCUGAAGUUCCUCCCACAGAUUAGGGUUUCCUUUGUAAUGGCUUCGGCCCCCAUGUACUUCAAUUUCAUGAAAUGGAAAAUUUUGUUAAAUUUCUUUUUCAAGUUCUUUCGCUUCUGCUUCUUUGUAUCUCUUUUUGUUUUAUACUUGUAUGAAUGACAAACAUUAGGCCGACUGCCUCGUGACAAUGACCAGUUAACAAUUGUGAAUCGGUCUCCUUAAGCGAACACAAGUCAGCACUUAAGUGGGUUGGAAGUGACCCCUUACU